Molecule: ribosomal RNA, 630 nt
Filed under: uncultured Actinomycetes bacterium
Lineage: Bacteria; Bacillati; Actinomycetota; Actinomycetes
Description: bacterial SSU rRNA
Rfam family: Bacterial small subunit ribosomal RNA
Source: RNAcentral
UGUUGGUGAGGUAACGGCUCACCAAGGCGACGACGGGUAGCCGGCCUGAGAGGGUGACCGGCCACACUGGGACUGAGACACGGCCCAGACUCCAACGGGAGGCAGCAGUGGGGAAUAUUGCACAAUGGGCGCAAGCCUGAUGCAGCAACGCCGCGUGAGGGACGACGGCCUUCGGGUUGUAAACCUCUUUUAGUAGGGAAGAAGCGAAAGUGACGGUACCUGCAGAAAAAGCACCGGCUAACUACGUGCCAGCAGCCGCGGUAAUACGUAGGGUGCAAGCGUUGUCCGGAAUUAUUGGGCGUAAAGAGCUCAUAGGCGGUCUGUCGCGUCUGCUGUGAAAACCCGAGGCUCAACCUCGGGCCUGCAGUGGGUACGGGCAGACUAGAGUGCGGUAGGGGAGAUUGGAAUUCCUGGUGUAGCGGUGGAAUGCGCGGAUAUCAGGAGGAACACCGAUGGCGAAGGCAGAUCUCUGGGCCGUAACCGACGCUGAGGAGCGAAAGCGUGGGGAGCGAACAGGAUUAGAUACCCUGGUAGUCCACGCCGUAAGCGUUGGGCGCUAGAUGUGGGGACCAUUCCACGGUUUCCGUGUCGCAGCUAACGCAUCAAGCGCCCCGCCUGGGGAGUACGGAA